UUUAGAUCAACAAAUAAAGAUUAUUAUUGAUGGACACAUUUGGGCAAAAACCGAAAACUUCUCAACAUUUUGACUUGAUGGGAUCUACUGUCCUCGUCAUCGGACCAACCGGCUGCCGUGAGUUUGUUUUCCUCUGAAUCCCACAGGCGUGUUUGUUGUGUUUGUCCACCAUAAAGUGACGUCUGUCUGCCGAGUGGAAGACGACACCUUAUCAAGCUGUAGGGAAAUUACCCCCCCCCCAUAAAACAGUUGUUUUAUUUCAGAUGUUAGAGAACAACUGGACUGUUUCUGAGGUGGAGGUGAUGUCUUCAUGUAGUUAGAAUGCUUUAAAGUGCACAGACACGCCAUUUCUGUCAGGUUUUAAUUGUAUGUGGAUUAUUUUUCAUGCCCCGUUGUUUGUUUAGUCAAAUGUGUCGUUGCCUUUAAUCCUAUUCCUUUGCAUGCUCUUCGUGGGGUGUUGGCAGACUUUCAGUGCGGCUGCCUCUCAAAGGCUCAUUUUGACUUC
This is a long non-coding RNA of Gasterosteus aculeatus aculeatus (three-spined stickleback), 505 nucleotides long. NCBI's taxonomy places the organism in Eukaryota, Metazoa, Chordata, Actinopteri, Perciformes, Gasterosteidae. The record is from Ensembl.